This is a long non-coding RNA of Hordeum vulgare subsp. vulgare (domesticated barley), 2269 nucleotides long. RefSeq lists it as uncharacterized. NCBI's taxonomy places the organism in Eukaryota, Viridiplantae, Streptophyta, Magnoliopsida, Poales, Poaceae. The record is from RefSeq and is a predicted model, not a curated record. The transcript is spliced from 6 exons.
ACCACGCCGCCGCCGGGGUCUCCGUCGCGCCCCCACGCUCUACCACGGCGCCGCCGGGCUACCCACCGCACCCCCGCGCUCCACCGCCGGACUCUCCACCUCGCCCCCGCGCUCCACCGUGUUGUAGGCCUAUACCGCCGGACUCUCCACCGCGCUCCUGCGCCCCUGCGCUCCACCACGCCGCCGUCGGGUUCUCCACCGUGCCGGCGGCCUAUCCACCUACUGCAGAGGAGAGUUGCCUUGUGGAAUGGCGUUACAGGCGUGGCGGGGCACGUCCCGGGGUUGUUGCUGCUAGUGGUGGCCAACCCCGGAGAUGACCUCGCCUGCCGCACGACCCUGCUGGCUUGCCGCCCCACACGCUCAAAAUCUCUCCGUCGCCCAGAUUCCCGCAGGCGUUGCUGCUCGUGGUGUCUAACCCCGUCGACGUCCUCGCCUUGAUAUUUUUAGGGUUGAGUUCAAGGCGAGCGGCGUCAUCUGCUCCGGUACCAAUCUCGACGCCUCUAGGUUUUGGUUCCUCAUCAACGAGCCCCCCGCCAUUAACGCGCAGGGCGUGCAGGUAACUUACUAGACCUGAAUCCAUCCAUGAAUCCAUUGGCCUCGUGCUCCCCCGGUACAUAUUUAUCAGGUUCAUAGAAAUACUUUACGAGUAUUUGUUUUUUUCUUUGAAAGUCUAACUUGUUAUUUGUUUGUUCGCUGCCUUCCAGAGAAAGGGAGCGUAUGUAACAGGCCUCCCAGAUACUCUUCAUGAACUGAUUUUCUCAUAGAAAAUUCUUCACUGCCAUAUAUAUUUCCCGUAGAUAUAUCAUUAAGCAUCAGCAGUUCAAUACUGUAUUUUGAUUCUUUUUCUCGAUUAUAGAAGAUGUUAUUUCUCCAGCCUACAAUCAGGUUUAAUUUCUGCAUAGUUUGUUUCCUUAUUUCCUUUCCCAUGUAAUUAUUAUGUUCUUACUCUACAUUCUACACAGUACAAAUCAGAUUUAAGGCAGUAGUUAUAUUGUUAACCAGUUGUUGCAGUUUCUGCUACAUAUAUAUGUAGAUUUUUGAAAGUAUUUCUAAAUAUGCUAUCAGGUCUAAUGGAAGAAAUCAUACAAAUGAAAUAGCAAUAAUGUUAGCAUCCAACUUCCUGAUCUUGGUGAAGGCCGGCCAUACUCAGGUACAUCUUCCAUCUGCUUUGCCAUGACACUUCAUGCCUCUUUUAGAAGAAAAAUAUUCUUCUGUCACUGCCUGCAGUGUCCGUUAGUGAUGAGGGUUCCAAUCCUGGCAUCUAUCCAAUCCUUUGCCUAGAUAGUUAAAGCAACGCACGAAUGCCACGCUGCCACCGUUGUCGAUGAGACAUGGUGUGUUUCAUCGAUCGUUCUGUGCAUCUGCUCAUCUGCAAAUUACAACGGUAAGAAUUCAACCUGAAAUCCUCUCAGCACAUGUCACUUUGACUUGCAGGCCUGCAGCAGCAACAGCGACCACAGCUGGCCUCCCGGAGUCGUCAAUGACUGCAACAUCGUCCACAUGCACGACCUUACCAUCAUUUUAUCCUCUAUUUAUGAGGAACCUAAUACGUUGAAUAUUUUCAGUGAGGUCUGCCGGCCGGUACUUUUCUCAGUGUAUCAAAUACCCGUACGUGGUGGAUUGAUACCGUAGAGAUGUUCAAGUACAUCAUAUUGCAUUCAAGGCUGCUGGAUGCAUGGAUCGAUUCUGAAAUAACAAAGGACGCACCACAGUCAAUUUGCAAUCUUAUUGCAUGUGACGCAUGCACCAUGCAGCCUUAUAAGAUGGAUGGAGUCAUGGAAGAUUGCCUUAUUCACAUAAGAAGAAAGCCUAGAGCCAUCUAAAGUCACGAGAUUGGAUUCCUAGCCCACCACAGCGUCUCUUCAACCCUGAACCAGUUUAUGCUGCGCCUCUGCAACCUUAUUGGUCACCGUAGUCCAUGCAACAGCUAUCAUGAGGGCCUAUUGUCGUUACCGCGCAGCCCACGUUUAUCUGCUUGCUGCUAUUUCUGCUAUCGCUGAAACCAACCAGGAGUUACUGGCCUUAAGGCACCAAGGAAGCAAAGAAAAGGACAACACUCAAACAAAAGGAGAACACUCACAAGGAACCAUGAAGCCAGCGAUCCGUGUCACCUGGAUAUUUAGCCUUUAUUUUUUACAACACAUGUCUCAUACUAGCAUCUUUUAGCUGUCAUUUUUGUGAACCUGAUGUAUGGUGUCCUGGUGGUUAUGCUUGGAACAGAGUGUAUGUGAAAUUAAUUAAUGGAAUAAAAAAUGGUUGGUGCACUUGA